AAACUUUUAACAACGGAUCUCUUGGUUCUGGCAUCGAUGAAGAACGCAGCGAAAUGCGAUAAGUAAUGUGAAUUGCAGAAUUCAGUGAAUCAUCGAAUCUUUGAACGCACAUUGCGCCCGCCAGCAUUCUGGCGGGCAUGCCUGUUCGAGCGUAUUUC
RNAcentral lists this ribosomal RNA (158 nucleotides) under Colletotrichum destructivum. Its description in RNAcentral is "5.8S rRNA". It matches the Rfam family "5.8S ribosomal RNA". Rfam says of the family: 5.8S ribosomal RNA (5.8S rRNA) is a component of the large subunit of the eukaryotic ribosome. Lineage: Eukaryota; Fungi; Ascomycota; Sordariomycetes; Glomerellales; Glomerellaceae. The record is from RNAcentral.